UUCCCGCCGCGGCGGGAGCUCGGCUGUCGCUGGCCUUCCGAGGCAUGUGCACGCCCUGCUCAUCCACUCUACACCUGUGCACUUACUGUGGGCUUCAGAUCGUAAAACGGGUCCCUUUACCGGGCUUGCGGAGCGUGUCUGUGCCUGCGUUUAUCACAAACUCUAUAAAGUAUCAGAAUGUGUAUUGCGAUGUAACGCAUCUAUAUACAACUUUCAGCAACGGAUCUCUUGGCUCUCGCAUCGAUGAAGAACGCAGCGAAAUGCGAUAAGUAAUGUGAAUUGCAGAAUUCAGUGAAUCAUCGAAUCUUUGAACGCACCUUGCGCUCCUUGGUAUUCCGAGGAGCAUGCCUGUUUGAGUGUCAUGAAAUCUUCAACCUGCAAGCUUUUGUGGUUUGUAGGCUUGGACUUGGAGGCUUGUCGGCCGUUCUUGGUCGGCUCCUCUUAAAUGCAUUAGCUUGGUUCCUUGCGGAUCGGCUCUCAGUGUGAUAAUGUCUACGCUGCGACCGUGAAGCGUUUGGCGAGCUUCUAACCGUCUCAGUUGGAGACAACUUUAUGACCUCUGACCUCAAAUCAGGUAGGACUACCCGCUGAACUUAAGCAUAUCAAUAGCCGGAAGAAA
RNAcentral lists this ribosomal RNA (619 nucleotides) under Ganoderma lucidum. Its description in RNAcentral is "eukaryotic LSU rRNA". The stretch from base 209 to 362 matches the Rfam family "5.8S ribosomal RNA". Lineage: Eukaryota; Fungi; Basidiomycota; Agaricomycetes; Polyporales; Polyporaceae. The record is from RNAcentral.